RNAcentral lists this antisense RNA (75 nucleotides) under Streptomyces noursei. RNAcentral's name for it is "ASpks TB sRNA". It matches the Rfam family "ASpks TB sRNA". Lineage: Bacteria; Bacillati; Actinomycetota; Actinomycetes; Kitasatosporales; Streptomycetaceae. The record is from RNAcentral.
CUUCAGGGACCCCAACCACAGCGGCUGGUCGGCGGUGUGCGCCUGGCCGUAGGUGGCGAGCAGUGCCUGGGCCUC